Molecule: ribosomal RNA, 443 nt
Filed under: Variovorax sp. SA008
Lineage: Bacteria; Pseudomonadati; Pseudomonadota; Betaproteobacteria; Burkholderiales; Comamonadaceae
Description: bacterial SSU rRNA
Rfam family: Bacterial small subunit ribosomal RNA
Source: RNAcentral
GCCGAUGGCAGAUUAGGUAGUUGGUGAGGUAAAGGCUCACCAAGCCUUCGAUCUGUAGCUGGUCUGAGAGGACGACCAGCCACACUGGGACUGAGACACGGCCCAGACUCCUACGGGAGGCAGCAGUGGGGAAUUUUGGACAAUGGGCGAAAGCCUGAUCCAGCCAUGCCGCGUGCAGGAUGAAGGCCUUCGGGUUGUAAACUGCUUUUGUACGGAACGAAACGGUCUUUUCUAAUACCCAAGGCUAAUGACGGUACCGUAAGAAUAAGCACCGGCUAACUACGUGCCAGCAGCCGCGGUAAUACGUAGGGUGCAAGCGUUAAUCGGAAUUACUGGGCGUAAAGCGUGCGCAGGCGGUUAUGUAAGACAGUUGUGAAAUCCCCGGGCUCAACCUGGGAACUGCAUCUGUGACUGCCUAGCUAGAGUGCGGUAGAGGGGGAUGG